Molecule: ribosomal RNA, 322 nt
Filed under: Escherichia coli
Lineage: Bacteria; Pseudomonadati; Pseudomonadota; Gammaproteobacteria; Enterobacterales; Enterobacteriaceae
Also listed under: 1 other name
Description: bacterial SSU rRNA
Rfam family: Bacterial small subunit ribosomal RNA
Source: RNAcentral
CGACCAGGGCUACACACGUGCUACAAUGGCGCAUACAAAGAGAAGCGACCUCGCGAGAGCAAGCGGACCUCAUAAAGUGCGUCGUAGUCCGGAUUGGAGUCUGCAACUCGACUCCAUGAAGUCGGAAUCGCUAGUAAUCGUGGAUCAGAAUGCCACGGUGAAUACGUUCCCGGGCCUUGUACACACCGCCCGUCACACCAUGGGAGUGGGUUGCAAAAGAAGUAGGUAGCUUAACCUUCGGGAGGGCGCUUACCACUUUGUGAUUCAUGACUGGGGUGAAGUCGUAACAAGGUAACCGUAGGGGAACCUGCGGUUGGAUCAC